Molecule: long non-coding RNA, 241 nt
Organism: Herpailurus yagouaroundi (jaguarundi)
Lineage: Eukaryota; Metazoa; Chordata; Mammalia; Carnivora; Felidae
Exons: 2
Source: RefSeq, a predicted model, not a curated record
GAUCAUGCCCUGAGCCGAAGUCAGACGCCCAACUGACCGAGCCACCCAGGAGGCUUUACACCCAGGGCAGAGCCCGAUCGGGCUUCAGCUCACGACCCCGAGAUUAAGACCUGAGCUGAGAUCAAGAAUCAGACACUUAACUGAUUGAGCCACCCAGGAGCCCCCAAAUUUAAAAUUCUUGUAUGAUACUAGAAUUGAGAGCAAAAGACAAAUUGCAGUCUGGGAUUAAAAAAAAAAAAAA